UCAGAACAACAGGGAUGCCUCAGUAACGGCGAGUGAAGCGGCAACAGCUCAAAUUUGAAAUCUGGCCUCACGGCCCGAGUUGUAAUUUGUAGAGGAUGUUUUGGGUACCGCCACGGUUUAAAUUUCUUGGAACAGAAUGUCAAAGAGGGUGAGAAUCCCGUCUUGGACCGCGGUAGGGCCUGUGUAAAACUCCUUCGACGAGUCGACUUGUUUGGGAAUGCAGGUCAAAAUGGGUGGUAAAUUUCAUCUAAAGCUAAAUAUUGGCCAGAGACCGAUAGCGCACAAGUAGAGUGAUCGAAAGAUGAAAAGCACUUUGAAAAGAGAGUUAAACAGUAUGUGAAAUUGUUGAAAGGGAAGCGCUGGCAACCAGACUCGUGCGCGGGGUUCCCCUCAGCUUCGGCUGGGGCUACUUCCCCGUGUCCGGGCCAUCAUCAGUUUUGGGGGCCGGUCAAAGGUUCCAGGAAUGUAUCCACGCCUUCGGGGGUGGACUUAUAGCCUGGGGCGUCAUGCGGCCACCCGGGACUGAGGAACGCGCUUCGGCGAGGAUGAUGGCGUAAUGGUUGUCAGCGACCCGUCUUGAAACACGGACCAAGGAGUCUAACAUCUAUGCGAGUGUUCGGGUGUCAAACCCUUGCGCGGAAUGAAAGUGAACGGAGGUAGGAAGGCUUUAGCCUGCACUAUCGACCGAUCCGGAUGUCUUCGGAUGGAUUUGAGUAAGAGCAUAGCUGUUGGGACCCGAAAGAUGGUGAACUAUGCGUGAAUAGGGUGAAGCCAGAGGAAACUCUGGUGGAGGCUCGCAGCGGUUCUGA
This 809-nucleotide ribosomal RNA is filed under the name Arthrocladium tropicale. RNAcentral describes it as "LSU rRNA". It matches the Rfam family "Eukaryotic large subunit ribosomal RNA", at positions 56 to 889 of the family's 3401-position model. The record is from RNAcentral. Lineage: Eukaryota; Fungi; Ascomycota; Eurotiomycetes; Chaetothyriales; Trichomeriaceae.